AUCAGUAAAAUGCUAGAAUCAAUAACAAUAAUGAAAUUUAAAAUAAACUAAUCAACUCACAAGUAAUUGCACUGUUACGCCAAAAAUACACAAAGUUUUGGAAUAGUAUGUAUACCUGACAGAAAAUACUAUAAAUUUGUGUGAUAAAUAAUUUACUCUGAUACCACUUGAUGAUUAAUAACACUCAUAAAAUAGAUGGCGAAAUGCUUGUCAGAGACUCGUAAUCACACGCAAUGAGAGAAAGAU
Molecule: long non-coding RNA, 246 nt
Filed under: Elaeis guineensis (African oil palm)
Lineage: Eukaryota; Viridiplantae; Streptophyta; Magnoliopsida; Arecales; Arecaceae
Description: long non-coding RNA (EGUI_LNC009561)
Source: RNAcentral